GUGUGUGUGUUUCUAUUUAUUUGCUUGCUUGCUUGUUCUUAAGAGGAGAAACACAGAGGUAAAAGAGGAAAAGAGAAUUUCAAGAUACAGCCUAAAGACAGCAGCAUGACCCAAAAACUUCCUGGUCUCUCCACCGUGGACAAUCAGGCCACUGGAAAGGGAGAUGAAACUGAAGGCCUCUGCCCUCUGAGAAGAUGAACAGAACUCACCAGAGGCGUGUGUAGAUAAACAUCAGUCUGUUCAUUUGUAAGAAGACGUUACCAUCUCCAGGAUCCGAAGACUCACAUCCCUGCACUCAGAACAUUCUCGUCCUUUGGGAAGACUGACAUGAAAAGCCAGAUGAUAAUCAGGAGGUUGCUGGGUGACAACUGUUGAAGAGCAUCUGGAUCUGAUGCGUCUGUCUCCCAUAGACACGGCCUUGUUGGUGGGACCAGAAUGUGUGAAGUCUGACAGCUAUUGCCCCCUUUCCGCUCUUGGUGUGGCAAAUACACUGCCCACCUGUACUGUUUUGUGACGUUACUUUCAUCCACGGGCCUGGGAAAAUGACGGCUGUGUAUCUUUAAAAGAACUCGAGUAAAUGACCCCUGAUUUCUCUCCUGGGUUAGUAUUUGUGCUUCGGUGGAGUCACCGGGCAGCAGCAUAGCUUAAUGGUAAAGUUCUAGCACUGAAGGCAGCCUGCCCGGUACAGAUCUGGACGCUGUGACCUGCCAUGACAGCUGGGCAAAUUACUUAAUCUCUCUGUGACUCCACCUUCUUCAUCUCUAAAAUGGGAGAAUAAUAGUAUGUACGUUCCAAAAUUGUGAUGAAGAUUAAAUGAGCUAAUACAUAAAACAUUUGACAUAGUGCUUGCCACAUAGUGAAUACUUAAAUUUUAGCCGUUUUGAGAAUGUACUUGCCCGUUUUCUUUGCCAUUUUUUUAUGGCCUUAAUGAGUUUAAUAUAAGUAAUGACUUAUUUUUGUCCAUAACAAGGUGGUGUUAUAACAUGGUUCAGUAUUUAAUAUACAGAUACUGAUUAGUUGGUUGGCAUAGCCAAUUUUUUAGCAGAAGUAUUUAAUAUAUACAUGCUGAUGAGUUUGUUGACAUAGCUAAUUUUUAUAAGUAGUGUUAUUAUUACUAUUAUCACUGUAAUGAAUCACGAUGCUAAAAUAAAACUUUUUUUCAAAUUAAUGAGCAUGUAUUCCUUAGGCACAAAGAAAAUAAAUAUCUACUCCUGGUUGAAGUCUUUUUUCGACUAGAGUCAUGGCCUUCACAGGGAGACAAUCUAUUGACCACUUCCGGAGCUGUGCUGUGGAAAAAGAAGAGACCAGAAAAAGGAAGCCUUGGGGACAUGUUUUGCAUGAAUUAGCAAAGUCCAAUGUGAGCAUUCUGCGUAAGUGUGUAAGGGUGUGUUUGUAUCCUUAUUCCUAUUCCCAUUGUAGGAAUAAUUAAGGAAAACAUAUAGUUCCGAAGCUCUGGGUAAAAGCUGCAAAAUAAAAAUGGUGGACAAUUUUAAACCACAGAAUGGAACUCCUUUAGCAAUUCUAAGUAGAGGCCAUUGGAUGUGCUUCUUUUGCAGUUGUUUUUGAGCCAUUUAUUUCAUGUAAAAUAUAUUACCCCAAGCAAUUUUUUAAUCUCAUCUUUUAAGGGUUUAAGACUUAAUAAGCGGCAAGCUAAAAAUGUAGUUAAACGUG
RNAcentral lists this long non-coding RNA (1671 nucleotides) under Equus asinus (donkey). RNAcentral's name for it is "lncRNA (ENSEASG00005025130.1)". Lineage: Eukaryota; Metazoa; Chordata; Mammalia; Perissodactyla; Equidae. The record is from RNAcentral.